Molecule: non-coding RNA, 74 nt
Organism: Podarcis lilfordi (Lilford's wall lizard)
Lineage: Eukaryota; Metazoa; Chordata; Lepidosauria; Squamata; Lacertidae
Source: the annotation of a GenBank genome assembly
GCCUGGGAUGGCUCAGUCAACAGAGAGUGAGACUCUCAAUCUCAGGAUCGUGGGUUUGAGCUCCAGGCUGAGCA